UACAGAGGUGGCAAGCGUUGUUCGGAAUUACUGGGCGUAAAGGGCGCGUAGGCGGCCAUCUAAGUCAGACGUGAAAUCCCCCGGCUUAACCUGGGAACUGCGUCUGAUACUGGACGGCUAGAGUAUGGGAGAGGGAUGUAGAAUUCCAGGUGUAGCGGUGAAAUGCGUAGAUAUCUGGAGGAACACCGGUGGCGAAAGCGGUUCACUGGCCCGACACUGACACUGAGGUGCGAAAGCUAGGGUAGCAAACGGG
RNAcentral lists this ribosomal RNA (253 nucleotides) under uncultured bacterium. RNAcentral describes it as "partial 16S ribosomal RNA". It matches the Rfam family "Bacterial small subunit ribosomal RNA", at positions 524 to 776 of the family's 1533-position model. The record is from RNAcentral.